RNAcentral lists this ribosomal RNA (294 nucleotides) under uncultured bacterium. RNAcentral's name for it is "partial 16S ribosomal RNA". It matches the Rfam family "Bacterial small subunit ribosomal RNA", at positions 29 to 353 of the family's 1533-position model. The record is from RNAcentral.
AACGAACGCUGGCGGCAUGCCUAACACAUGCAAGUCGAACGAGACCUUCGGGUCUAGUGGCGCACGGGUGCGUAACGCGUGGGAAUCUGCCCUUUGCUUCGGAAUAACAGUUAGAAAUGACUGCUAAUACCGGAUGAUGUCUUCGGACCAAAGAUUUAUCGGCAAAGGAUGAGCCCGCGUAGGAUUAGGUAGUUGGUGGGUAAAGGCCUACCAAGCGACGAUCCUUAGCUGGUCUGAGAGGAUGAUCAGCACACUGGGACUGAGACACGGCCCAGACUCCUACGGGAGGCAGCA